ACUGUCAGCUUUGGCUAAACUUACACAUGCAAGUCUCCGCCUCCCUGUGAGAAUGCCCACAGUUUUCUGCCCGAAAACAAGGAGCCGGUAUCAGGCACACUCCCCGCAGCCCAUGACACCUUGCUUAGCCACACCCUCAAGGGAACUCAGCAGUGAUAGACAUUAAGCCAUAAGUGAAAACUUGACUUAGUUAAAGCCAAGAGAGCCGGUAAAACUCGUGCCAGCCACCGCGGUUAUACGAGAGGCUCAAGUUGACAGACACCGGCGUAAAGAGUGGUUAGGAAAUCCUUAAAACUAAAGCCAAACGCCCUCAGAACUGUUAUACGUACCCGAGGGUAAGAAGCCCCACUACGAAAGUGGCUUUAUAUCUCCGACCCCACGAAAGCUGUGAAACAAACUGGGAUUAGAUACCCCACUAUGCCCAGCCCUAAACUUUGAUAGCCCACUACACCCGCUAUCCGCCCGGGUACUACGAGCACUAGCUUAAAACCCAAAGGACUUGGCGGUGCUUUAGACCCCC
This 520-nucleotide ribosomal RNA is filed under the name Tristramella simonis. RNAcentral describes it as "partial small subunit ribosomal RNA". It matches the Rfam family "Bacterial small subunit ribosomal RNA", at positions 24 to 930 of the family's 1533-position model. Lineage: Eukaryota; Metazoa; Chordata; Actinopteri; Cichliformes; Cichlidae. The record is from RNAcentral.